ACCCAGUUGACGAGUUCCAAAUAGGAUGAAACGCGCGUCCUGGAU
This 45-nucleotide non-coding RNA is filed under the name Schistosoma haematobium. Lineage: Eukaryota; Metazoa; Platyhelminthes; Trematoda; Strigeidida; Schistosomatidae. The record is from RNAcentral.